This 936-nucleotide non-coding RNA is filed under the name Pelodytes cf. punctatus II-2011. Its description in RNAcentral is "small ribosomal RNA subunit RNA". It matches the Rfam family "Bacterial small subunit ribosomal RNA". Lineage: Eukaryota; Metazoa; Chordata; Amphibia; Anura; Pelodytidae. The record is from RNAcentral.
AAAAGGUUUGGUCCUAGCCUUACUAUCAAUUGUAACCAAGCUUACACAUGCAAGUCUCAGCACCCCAGUGAAAAUGCCCUUCUUCCCCCACCCCGGGGAAAAGGAGCUGGUAUCAGGCUCAAAUUAUGCCCAAGACACCUUGCCAUGCCACACCCACAAGGGUACUCAGCAGUGAUAAAUAUUGAAUAUUAGUGUAAACUAGAUUCAGCUAUGGUUAAUAAGGCCGGUUAAUUUCGUGCCAGCCACCGCGGUUAUACGGAUUGGCCUAAAUUGAAAGUCGUCGGCGUAAAGCGUGAUUAAAGUACACAAUACUAGGGCUGAAUUGAAACUUGGCCGUGACACGCUUCCGCCUCAAAGAAGCUCAAAUGCGAAAGCUGCCCUAAUUUUCUUGAACUCACGACCGCUAAGUUACAAACUGGGAUUAGAUACCUCACUAUGCUUAGCCGUAAACUUUAAUACUUACAAUAAACAUUCGCCAGGGUACUACGAGCGUUAGCUUAAAACCCAAAGGACUUGGCGGUGCCCCAAACCCACCUAGAGGAGCCUGUUCUAUAAUCGAUACCCCCCGCUUUACCUCACCACUUCUUGUCAAUACCGCCUGUAUACCUCCGUCACCAACCUACCCCUUGAGGGAAAUAAAGUAAGUACAAUGAUAUCUUAUCUAAACGUCAGGUCAAGGUGCAGCGUAUGAAGUGGAAAGAAAUGGGCUACAUUUUCUACAUUAGACUACACGAAAGAUUACUAUGAAAUCUAAUCUGAAGGCGGAUUUAACAGUAAAGAGAAACUAGAGUGUUCUCUUUAAACUGGCCCUGGGGCGCGCACACACCGCCCGUCGCCCUCCUCAAUAACUAAUUAAUAAUUUUUAAUAAUAAACCUAAGAAUCAGAGGAGGUAAGUCGUAACAUGGUAAGUAUACCGGAAGGUAUGCUUGGAUUAA